Molecule: ribosomal RNA, 408 nt
Filed under: uncultured bacterium
Lineage: Bacteria
Description: partial 16S ribosomal RNA
Rfam family: Bacterial small subunit ribosomal RNA
Source: RNAcentral
GACGAACGCUGGCGUCGUGCUUAACACAUGCAAGUCGAACGGAGUGGCGAACGGGUGAGUAACACGUGGGUGAUCUGCCUUGCACUUCGGGCUAAGCUUGGGAAACUGGGUCUAAUACCGGAUAGUGCAAGAUGAGCGGGCGGCCUAUAAGAUUGUUGGUGGGUUAAUGGCCUACCAAGGCGUCGACGAGUUGCCGGCCUGAGAGGGUGUACGGGCACAGUGGGACUGAGAUACGGCCCAGGCUCCUACGGGAGGGAGCAGUGGAGAAUAUAGCACGAUGGGCGGAAGCCUGAUGCAGGGACGCCGCGUGGGAGAGGAAGGCCUUCGGGUUGUAAGCUCCUUUGGACAGGGACGCGGUACCUGUAUAAGAAGCACCGGCUAACUACGUGCCAGCAGCCGCGGUAAUUC